This 251-nucleotide ribosomal RNA is filed under the name uncultured bacterium. RNAcentral's name for it is "partial 16S ribosomal RNA". It matches the Rfam family "Bacterial small subunit ribosomal RNA", at positions 524 to 776 of the family's 1533-position model. The record is from RNAcentral.
UACGGAGGAUGCGAGCGUUAUCCGGAUUUAUUGGGUUUAAAGGGUGCGUAGGCGGAUCGUAAGUCAGUGGUCAAAUUGAGGGGCUCAACCCCUUCCCGCCAUUGAAACUGGCGAUCUUGAGUGGAAGAGAAGUAUGCGGAAUGCGUGGUGUAGCGGUGAAAUGCAUAGAUAUCACGCAGAACCCCGAUUGCGAAGGCAGCAUGCCGGCUUCCUACUGACGCUGAAGCACGAAAGCGUGGGGAUCGAACAGG